Molecule: transfer RNA, 70 nt
Filed under: Ips shangrila
Lineage: Eukaryota; Metazoa; Arthropoda; Insecta; Coleoptera; Curculionidae
Description: tRNA-Met
Rfam family: tRNA
About the family: Transfer RNA (tRNA) molecules are approximately 80 nucleotides in length.
Source: RNAcentral
AAAAAGAUAAGCUAAAAUUAAGCUAUUGGAUUCAUACUUCAAUUAUAAAGGCAAAAUCCUUUUCUUUUUA